RNAcentral lists this ribosomal RNA (492 nucleotides) under uncultured bacterium. RNAcentral describes it as "partial 16S ribosomal RNA". It matches the Rfam family "Bacterial small subunit ribosomal RNA", at positions 29 to 507 of the family's 1533-position model. The record is from RNAcentral.
AGUGAACGCUGGCGGUAGGCCUAACACAUGCAAGUCGAACGGCAGCACAGUAAGAGCUUGCUCUUACGGGUGGCGAGUGGCGGACGAGUGAGGAAUACAUCGGAAUCUACUUUUUCGUGGGGGAUAACGUAGGGAAACUUACGCUAAUACCGCAUACGACCUACGGGUGAAAGCAGGGGAUCUUCUGACCUUGCGCGAUUGAAUGAGCCGAUGUCGGAUUAGCUAGUUGGCGGGGUAAAGGCCCACCAAGGCGACGAUCCGUAGCUGGUCUGAGAGGAUGAUCAGCCACACUGGAACUGAGACACGGUCCAGACUCCUACGGGAGGCAGCAGUGGGGAAUAUUGGACAAAGGGCGCAAGCCUGAUCCAGCCAUACCGCGUGGGUGAAGAAGGCCUUCGGGUUGUAAAGCCCUUUUGUUGGGAAAGAAAAGCAGCAGGUUAAUACCCCGCUGUUCUGACGGUACCGAAAGAAUAAGCACCGGCUAACUUCGUG